GCACAAGCAGCGGAGCGUGUGGUUUAAUUCGAUGCUACACGAGAACCUUACCAGGGUUUGACAUGCAAGUGGUGGAAACUGAAAGGGACGACCCUUCGGGAGCUUGCACAGGUGCUGCAUGGCUGUCGUCAGCUCGUGUCGUGAGAUGUUCGGUUAAGUCCGCUAACGAGCGCAACCCUCACUGUGUGUUAUAUGUGUCACACGGGACUGCCGGUUUUAAGCCGGAGGAAGGUGGGAUGACGUCAAGUCAGCAUGGCCUUUAUAUCCUGGGCUACACACACGCUACAAUGGUCGGUACAAUAGGUUGCCAAGCCGCGAGGCGGAGCCAAUCCAUAAAAGCCGGCCUCAGUUCAGAUUGUAGGCUGCAACUCGCCUGCAUGAAGAUGGAGUUGCUAGUAACCGCAGGUCGGCAAUACUGCGGUGAAUACGUUCCCGGGUCUU
This 441-nucleotide ribosomal RNA is filed under the name uncultured Anaerolineaceae bacterium. RNAcentral describes it as "bacterial SSU rRNA". It matches the Rfam family "Bacterial small subunit ribosomal RNA", at positions 923 to 1382 of the family's 1533-position model. The record is from RNAcentral. Lineage: Bacteria; Bacillati; Chloroflexota; Anaerolineae; Anaerolineales; Anaerolineaceae.